Molecule: ribosomal RNA, 206 nt
Filed under: uncultured bacterium
Lineage: Bacteria
Description: partial 16S ribosomal RNA
Rfam family: Bacterial small subunit ribosomal RNA
Source: RNAcentral
CACGUAGGCGGAUCGUUAAGUCGGGGUGAAAUCCUGGAGCUCAACUCCAGAACUGCCUUCGAUACUGGCGAUCUAGAGUCCGGAAGAGGUGAGUGGAACUCCUAGUGUAGAGGUGGAAUUCGUAGAUAUUAGGAAGAACACCAGUGGCGAAGGCGGCUCACUGGCCCGGAACUGACGCUGAGGUGCGAAAGCGUGGGGAGCAAACA